UCGAACGAGCUUCCGUUGAAUGACGUGCUUGCACUGAUUUUAACAAUGAAGCGAGUGGCGAACUGGUGAGUAACACGUGGGAAAUCUGCCCAGAAGCAGGGGAUAACACUUGGAAACAGGUGCUAAUACCGUAUAACAACAAAAUCCGCAUGGAUUUUGUUUGAAAGGUGGCUUCGGCUAUCACUUCUGGAUGAUCCCGCGGCGUAUUAGUUAGUUGGUGAGGUAAAGGCCCACCAAGACGAUGAUACGUAGCCGACCUGAGAGGGUAAUCGGCCACAUUGGGACUGAGACACGGCCCAAACUCCUACGGGAGGCAGCAGUAGGGAAUCUUCCACAAUGGACGAAAGUCUGAUGGAGCAAUGCCGCGUGAGUGAAGAAGGGUUUCGGCUCGUAAAACUCUGUUGUUAAAGAAGAACACCUUUGAGAGUAACUGUUCAAGGGUUGACGGUAUUUAACCAGAAAGCCACGGCUAACUACGUGCCAGCAGCCGCGGUAAUACGUAGGUGGCAAGCGUUGUCCGGAUUUAUUGGGCGUAAAGCGAGCGCAGGCGGUUUUUUAAGUCUGAUGUGAAAGCCUUCGGCUUAACCGGAGAAGUGCAUCGGAAACUGGGAGACUUGAGUGCAGAAGAGGACAGUGGAACUCCAUGUGUAGCGGUGGAAUGCGUAGAUAUAUGGAAGAACACCAGUGGCGAAAGCGGCUGUCUAGUCUGUAACUGACGCUGACGCUCGAAAGCAUGGGUAGCGAACAGGAUUAGAUACCCUGGUAGUCCAUGCCGUAAACGAUGAGUGCUAAGUGUUGGAGGGUUUCCGCCCUUCAGUGCUGCAGCUAACGCAUUAAGCA
Molecule: ribosomal RNA, 840 nt
Filed under: Levilactobacillus brevis
Lineage: Bacteria; Bacillati; Bacillota; Bacilli; Lactobacillales; Lactobacillaceae
Description: bacterial SSU rRNA
Rfam family: Bacterial small subunit ribosomal RNA
Source: RNAcentral